This is a long non-coding RNA of Gasterosteus aculeatus aculeatus (three-spined stickleback), 1563 nucleotides long. NCBI's taxonomy places the organism in Eukaryota, Metazoa, Chordata, Actinopteri, Perciformes, Gasterosteidae. The record is from Ensembl.
ACACGAUGAAAGGCAUCCGAAAGCUAUCACACAUAAACCCAAAACUCAUUUUCCAGGAGGUUCAAGCCACCUUCUGAUAACAAAACGCCUCCGCUUGUGUUAAUCAAAACGUAACAACAUGACGCAAUGCUUGCAGCUCCGAGUUGUAAGUCCGAUGUAACACCUCUCCCCGAAAAUGUGUUCUUAUUUUUCCUGCCCAACGUCAUGACCCAAAAUGUUCAUUUUGCCAUUAGGCAAAGAAUAAUAGUGAAAAGCAGAUGUUAGGGGGGGCCGAGCAGCUUCGGACGGAGGGCGGCCAUGUUUAAUGAAUGAUGAAUGAAUGAACAGCCGAGCCAAAGAAGACGGGGUUGCUUUUUCCCUUCUCUUGACAUAUCGCAUGCUAGCACGUUAUGCAUAUUUCAUACAUGUCUGGUUGGGCUGCUGCUUGCCGAGGGAGCCGGGCAGAUGUUGCCUUCGUCUGUGUGUGUGUGUGUGUGCGACUGUGAGGUUUAGGGAUGGUACACGGAGACAAAUAUUUACCUUUACAGGUGGAAACACACUUACAUUCACAGAAAUAAUGAGGAAUCUGAACAGGAUUUAAAAUUGAUUCCAACAUUAAACUGGAAUCUUAUUUGCAGAGACUCGUCACGAUGAUGUUGAUUGACGAUAAAAUAUUAGGAAAAGGACAUUAAAACUUUAUGGUUGGAAUUGAAAUAACUAACGUUGGGUUUAGGAACCAUAACCAGAUUAGUCGGGUUCAGGAGUACUUUCAAGAAAGUAAGUUUUAGACAUAAAGCUCCACUUUGGAUGUGGAAGACAUGUUAAAAGAGGUUUUUCUGUAGAACGAUUGUUUGAUUUGGUGCAUAAAGUCACUUUUGCAUCAACUGAUCGACACGUUUUUUUUUCGCAGCCUGUCACAACAACAAGUUUCCUUCAUUCCAGUGUCUCUGAGGUCAGGUAGGCGCUGAGGUGCGUUUAGCUUUCCUUUGCGUUAGUAUUAGAGGUGCUCUUACGUCACAGCGGCCUGCAAGCACUGAGACUGAGUACUGAGACGAAUUCUUUCAUUACAUUUCAAGCAUUGAGAAGCAAAAGCCAGUUAAAAUGGUCUACAAGCAACUAUUACCCAGGAGUGCAAAAGCUCAUCAGCACAAUACUGGAAUAAAGCGACGGAUGCAAUAUGGCUGUUUCACACGAAGAAUCCUUUAGACACAAAUAGAGUAUCACAAAUGUUCUUUCUUAGAAAUAACUAGUUUUCAUUGUUGUCGUUUUUGUUUCCCAGCGACAUCGCCAGGCUUCCAAAGAAACAAGGCAUUGGGGUUUUAUGUUCCUCAAAAGCAAGAAUGCAGCAGUGAUUUGGAGGAAACUAUGCGUAAAUUAUGUAAAUAAUCCCAGGAGAUGAUUCAUUUUGCUCUUCGUCUCGCUGCUUCCUCAUGCGUCAUGCAUGGAUGUCGUUCGAUGCCGCUUUCAAUCCACUCUCCAUUUGUUCAGCGGCAACGCGAGCGAAAACCAGACCAACCCCAAAGCCUUCGGCUCCAUCGACGUUCCUCAACUCCUCGUGAGGCUCGAGAAGCGGCGGCAGUUGGC